This is an RNA transcript of Cryptomeria japonica (Japanese cedar), 2348 nucleotides long. RefSeq lists it as uncharacterized. NCBI's taxonomy places the organism in Eukaryota, Viridiplantae, Streptophyta, Pinopsida, Cupressales, Cupressaceae. The record is from RefSeq and is a predicted model, not a curated record. The transcript has 4 exons.
UUAUCCGUGGAUAUUUACGCUUGGAGCCAGCACAAGUCCAAGUCGACACCGGGAAAGUUGUGGCGGGACGAAACUCCCUGCACUGGUACAAGGAAGCAGCAAAUAAAAAACAACGAAUGAAAAACACGGCCGACAGAGAAAAGAGAAAGCGAAAAAGCUGCAGAAAUAAAAAACGGUGAAAGUCAGCGGCAAAGCGAUCAACGGACAAUAUAUUCCUGAUCGUCUUGCAUUGUUUUUAUGCAUUGUCCACCGUAGAUUACAAAAAUUAGGCUGUGCAUUCCAUAGUAAUCAAUUGUAUAAUUUUUUUAUGAGUAGUAAUAGCCUAUGAUUAUAAUACAACACAAGCUACCUAUCUCAAGUGGUCCACAACACAACACUGUUAUGCAGCAGUACAAACCCUAUAGAAUUUCCACACUUUUGCUGUUUGGAAAUUCGGUGUAAGAAUUUACAGGAAUCCGUUAAUGAGGUUUUGAUAACAAGGGAAAUAAAGAGGCGCUGAAGACAAGCUAGCUUCUGUGUGUGAUAGGCUGCUCUCUGCAUCGGACCUUGUGAAAUUCUGCAUCAAAACAUAUACCACACUUAUCUGGAGAUAAACGAGGCUGGUCAUAGCAGUAUUGAACGCCAUUGGAGGUUUUUAUUGAAUCGGAGUGGCAUUUUUGCUUGUGGCUGGACAAAAUGGGUAAACAAAACAAAAUGGGGGUUUGAAUCUUUUCAAGCCUAUGAAAGAGUUGGUCAAUAUAAUCAGGCAGGCAGCUUCCUGGUUUAAGUAUGGAAACGCAGGUCAAAAUCAACGAAUCUAUACAAAAAAUAAUGGAUACCAGAACUUGACUGUUUGUGGUGUCAUUCACUUACAAGAUAAUUCUAUUUGACAAAUAUUUUGAAAGGUUUUUCAAAACUUCUUAUGAUGGCGAAGGCCUUGGAGAACUUUGCAUUGAAGUGGAUGAAAUAACUUGUACUGACAAACGCAGCGUGGGAUGCGGCCAAACAACCAUUCCUUACCAUAGCUCUGCAGCUGUGGGCAUAGAUCAUACGAUUAUUGAGGUGACUGAACUCUUUGAGUGGAACAAAGACAAGCCAGCUGUGGCUGUACUUGUAUAUGGAAUAGGUGGAUCUGGGAAAACUAAGCUGGUAGAUGCAGUGAUUGCAUGCUUGAAUCUGGAGGGCUUCCAAAGUUACUUUCAUAAAAAGUAUGGAGUUUCAUCCUAAAAUAGAGGAAUUACAACCUCAGAUUUUGCAGGGUCCAACUGGGACAAAACAAAGUGUAAGAGACUCUCAGGGUGGACAGCAAGUGGUGAAAUCUUUUAUAGAGAGAGAAGUUGUUAUUAUAGAUAUUGACAACAUCAGGAAGAGAACAUCUAGAAAAUCUUCUCCCCAAGCGGAGCACCAGUUCAAAAAAAAUGAGGAUAUCUGGGAUUUUUUAAGGCUGCCGAAUCGAACCCUCUAAAUGGUACUACAUUGAGCCCCUCUCUGUUAAGGCAGGAAUUUAAGUAUUGUGCAGGAAAAUUGACAUAAAGGACAUAGACACCAUAUUGAAAGAAUUCAAGCGGAGGAGAUUGUGGAGAAAUGCAGUUGCUGUCCUCUGUUUUUGGAAGUGGUGGGAGCGUGGGAGCCUAUCUCCAUAAAAGAAAUAACAAGGUUGAAAGUUUAUGUAAAAGUAUUUUGCUGGCUAAGAGUUAGAGAGGAUUUCACCUGUUACCAGGAAGACGGUUUUCAGGAGUACAGAAUUCUGUUUGCUCACCAUGAGCUUAAACUCAUUGUAUAUAGGAGGCAUUCCUAGACAUAUGCUCAUUCUUAUGUGAUUGAGAGUGGGAGGAUGUUACCUGCAUUUUGGGAGAGGAAAAACUUUUUGUCUACUUGAAGGGUGCUCUGGUGAAAAGAAUAGAAGCUAAAGAUGGGUAUCAACAGAGACUAUAAGGAUCCAUGAUCUUAUAUCUACUGCAGGUCUCAAUAAAUUAAAAGACAAUUGAUUCAUGAGUGUCAAUGAUUUUUCUAUGGCAGUUCAGAAUGGAAGAGUAUGAAUCAUGAAGAUUUUAAAUAUAAAUAGUUAAAAAUCAAUUUCUAUAAAUUUCAGUCACCUUGAUAGAUUGGUUUAGGCAUGGUUUCUGGUGUUUGAACGUCUCCAGUAGCCCCGCAAAACUAAAUGAGUUUGGCUAGAAGGCAACGAUGAGCCAUUCCAUGUAGAUGCAGCAGUAGUGGGAGACAUGACAGUUGCGUGGACAAUGCCAUAAAGGAUUUGAUAAGCUGAGGUUUCUUCAAGUGGGAUUGGAACCAAAUUUGGCUACUGAUAUCCUUAAGAUUAAAAAAUUGGACUAUAGUAUCAAGGAAAAUGAAAGUUGGAAUCCACCUAA